RNAcentral lists this ribosomal RNA (1162 nucleotides) under Onishia taeanensis. RNAcentral describes it as "Halomonas taeanensis Bacterial large subunit ribosomal RNA". It matches the Rfam family "Bacterial large subunit ribosomal RNA", at positions 350 to 1530 of the family's 2925-position model. Lineage: Bacteria; Pseudomonadati; Pseudomonadota; Gammaproteobacteria; Oceanospirillales; Halomonadaceae. The record is from Rfam by way of RNAcentral.
CCACGCGAUACAGGGUGAUAGCCCCGUAGUCGAAAUCUGAUUGGUGUGAAAUCGAGUAGGUCGGGGCACGUGAAACCUUGACUGAAGACGGGGGGACCAUCCUCCAAGGCUAAAUACUCCUGACUGACCGAUAGUGAACCAGUACCGUGAGGGAAAGGCGAAAAGAACCCCGGAGAGGGGAGUGAAAUAGAUCCUGAAACCGUAUGCGUACAAGCAGUGGGAGCAGACUCGUUCUGUGACCGCGUACCUUUUGUAUAAUGGGUCAGCGACUUAUUUUCAGUGGCGAGCUUAACCGUAUAGGGGAGGCGUAGAGAAAUCGAGUCUUAACUGGGCGACCAGUCGCUGGAAAUAGACCCGAAACCGGGCGAUCUAUCCAUGAGCAGGUUGAAGAUUGAGUAACAUCAAUUGGAGGACCGAACCAGGAUCUGUUGAAAAAGAUUUGGAUGACUUGUGGAUCGGAGUGAAAGGCUAAUCAAGCCCGGAGAUAGCUGGUUCUCCUCGAAAGCUAUUUAGGUAGCGCCUCACGUAUCACCGCCGGGGGUAGAGCACUGUUUCGGCUAGGGGGUCAUCCCGACUUACCAACCCGAGGCAAACUCCGAAUACCGGUGAGUGCAGCGUGGGAGACACACAGCGGGUGCUAACGUCCGUUGUGAAAAGGGAAACAACCCAGACCGUCAGCUAAGGUCCCAAAAUCCUGAUUAAGUGGGAAACGAUGUGGGAAGGCUCAGACAGCUAGGAGGUUGGCUUAGAAGCAGCCAUCCUUUAAAGAAAGCGUAAUAGCUCACUAGUCGAGUCGGCCUGCGCGGAAGAUGUAACGGGGCUAAAUCAGGUACCGAAGCUACGGGUUCAUCGAAUGAUGAGCGGUAGAGGAGCGUCGUGUAAGCCAAUGAAGGUGUGUUGAGAAGCAUGCUGGAGGUAUCACGAGUGCGAAUGCUGACAUGAGUAACGACAAGGGGAGUGAAAAACUCCCCCGCCGGAAGACCAAGGGUUUCUGUUCGACGCUAAUCGGAGCAGAGUGAGUCGGCCCCUAAGGCGAGGCCGAAAGGCGUAGUCGAUGGGAAACGGGUCAAUAUUCCCGUACUUCACAGUAUUGCGAUGGGGGGACGAAGAAGGCUAGGUGAGCCAGGCGUUGGUUGUCCUGGUGAAAGUCUGUAGGCCGAGG